UCAAAUUAAAAAUUCAUUUGUUCCUAAAAUAAAAUGAGGUUAAUUAAAAAAGAAGAUUAAAGCUAAUUACACAUGAACAUAUUACAAGCAUUUUUUUUAAUGUGCGAAGACUUUUGGAAAUUAUAGUUGUAAGUCUUAAUCCAUGGAUUGAAAUGAAGGUUCCAUUUUAGUUUUUUUUUUAUAUCAACUAUCGUAAUUAAAGAUAAAUAGAUAAUGAUACAUACCUCACUACUUCUGCCAACUUCUAUUCACAUAAGGUGGCAUCCUUGGACACUUCUGCAGCCGUUCUUCUUCCUCUUGUUCAGUACUGCAAUUCUAGCAGGGAUGAGAAUCAAAAGUAAUAUGCCCUUGUUACUUUUUUAUGUGCUCUUCUUCUCUUGCAAUACCAAUCUUUCCAUUGGAGCUAAUAACAUUAUUUUCGGCCAAACACUAUCAAGAACCACACCAUUAUCUCCAAGGUGGGGUAGUCGAACUGCAGUUUGGGUUGUAAACAGAGAUCCUGUCAAAGACCCAAACUAUUCAGUAUUGAAAUUUUCAUACGAUGGUAGGCUAGUUCUUAUGGAUGAAUCAGGAUAUAAGGUUUGGUAGAUAUAUACGACCGUUCCUACCCCUACAGUAGGUGUGCUUCUUGAUGAUGGAAUUUUUGUUCUGAAAAAUGGAAUAGACUUAGCUAGUCCAGUCUGUCAGAGCUUUGAUAACCCAACUGAUACAUGGCUCCCUGGUGCGAAGCUCAGGUUAACUAAAACAAGAACAAAUGGCAUAUUUCUCACUUCACGGCAAAAUCCAGUUAAACCCAGAACAGGGAACUUUCUUCUAGAGGCAAAUACUAACAAUUCUGGUUCCCCUGUUUUGAGGUAUAUAUAUCUUAGAGAUUCCUAUUCGUGUUGGACAUAUUUGACUUGGUCAUGGAAUGGACAAAACUUUAGCUUAAUGAACUCAAGUUUAUCGAAAUUCGAAAUAUGUAAACUUCAGCUUUGUUUAAUUGUUUCGAGUGAAAAGGAGCGAUACUUCACAUAUUCAGCUCAUAACACUUCCAUACACUAGUGAUGGAUUUCCUUGGAAGGCUGCAGCAGUUUACAUGGAACGAAGACUUAAAAAGAUGGACUCAAUCUUUACACAUCAAACAUAUAUGGAUGACAAUGAAAAAUGGCAUACGGUCUUCCCAAGCAAAGCAACUGUGGACUCCAUUCAUGGAGUACAGUUCCUAUGUCCCGAGGCAACACUUUCUCUCUUGGACAUGUACAUGCUUAAAAGGAUCAGCAGAGUUAUGACUAUCAGUUUAUUCAUUAUUUUGGUGUAAGAGAAAGAAAGAAUUGCAAUGCCAGUCUCAAGGAAAUGACAUGUUUUAUGCAAUGGACAACAUGCAUUUACAGGAAAUUGUUAUGCAUAUGAAAGAUCAGAACAUAAAUGAAGGUAAAAUGACUUGCCUGAGUGCCUGUUCUUGUGCAGCAUACGCCUACAGUAACACUUGUUCAAUUUGGCUUGGAAAACUGUUUUCUCUGCAAAAAGCGGCACCUGAUAAUAACUUAGGAAAAACU
RNAcentral lists this long non-coding RNA (1538 nucleotides) under Aquilegia coerulea. Its description in RNAcentral is "long non-coding RNA (ACOE_LNC001617)". The record is from RNAcentral. Lineage: Eukaryota; Viridiplantae; Streptophyta; Magnoliopsida; Ranunculales; Ranunculaceae.